RNAcentral lists this long non-coding RNA (2228 nucleotides) under Physcomitrium patens. RNAcentral's name for it is "long non-coding RNA (PPAT_LNC012793)". The record is from RNAcentral. Lineage: Eukaryota; Viridiplantae; Streptophyta; Bryopsida; Funariales; Funariaceae.
UAUGGUGCAUUAACAGAUUUUUUAAUCCAUGUAUUGACAAUAUUAGCCCAAGUAGCUGAUUGUGCACAUGUUCUUGUUGAUGAGGUGCCAAGAUUUGAUAGGUGCCUCUAACUUUAUUAAAAAUGGAUCCAAAGCUAUCCAUAUUUAGCAAUACUUUUGUAUUACUUAAAAUAUCUUAAUGUGCAAAUCCAACUUCAAGUCCAAGCCAUAAUAUAUUAUAAAGGUGCCAAAGAAGAUGGGAAUUAUGCACAUACAAGUGCACCUUUGCUGGCAUGUGAAAUAGGUUUAUCUUGUAGGGACAAUUUAUGACUCAGAUGUAAAGAUACUUACGAGCAUGUUUCACACAUCCAAGAUGUACAAAUAAACAGAUGUGAUACUUGAUCAACAAUAUGGACACAGUAGUCGAAGUAGAAGUUUAAUUCCUAAAGUUGAUCCACAAGAGCAAGGAUUGGCAGGCAACUACCAAGUUCAAAUUUUUGGAUGCAUAUUUUCUUGUAGUCAAUGGUCUUUGCUAUUACUUAUGUGCUUGAAUUGGCUUGCCUUAGAGUGAACAACAUGUCCUUUGGAGCAAUGCCAACAGCAGCCAUUUAUUGCAUUACUUCACAUUAAUUAAACUAAAGACAAAAUACACUAGAAUGUCUAGCCAAGUUGAUAGAAGUCUUGUGGUUGUGCUCAUGCUUGAUUAUUAUAAUGUAUUAAAGUCUAUUUGACUUGUGAAAGCAUCUAUUGAGUUGAAAUGAGCAACCAAUCUUCUGUGUGGAUCCUCUACAAAUUCACUUUGUAUUUGUUUGAGCUUUUGUUGGGUUGUACUUGCUUCUUCAAUCACACUUCAAAACAAUCUUCUGCUAAGAAGGAUCAAAACAUAGCAUUGUAAGCGCACAGCCUUAGGUGUGAGCAAAUGCCUUCACAAAGUGCAACAUGUCUUCUUGUGAGUUGUAGGAAAUUUUAGGUUGAGAUGACAUCCUUACCAUUUGAAUAUAAUAUAAUUUGGUGGUUGAUAGUAUUUGGGAGUUGAAGGUAUUUAGGGAUGUACUUAUCAUCAUCACAAGUGCUUCCAAGACAGCCAAACAGUCAUGUGGAAGAAAGGGAGGGAAUUCCAUUUAUGAGGUGUAGUUGUAUUGAGCAUUGCAAGCCAAAAGUCACAGAAGGGGUGGAAAUAGUGAUGGAAGGGGGUGUAUUUAACAUUCUCCUUUUUUAUAUUUCUUGAGUGUAUAUAUAUAUAUAUAUACGCACACACACACAAACACAUGUGCAUAUUUGUCAUGCUUUCACAUUACUCUAUAUAAAUCCAUAAUUGACAAAUUUAUUUCAACAUUAAUUUUCAUGCUUUCUUCUGCAACACAAACAACAAAGAAAGAAAGAAACCAACAAUAAAAUUAAACAAAUCGAACCAUCAAUACAACAAAUAAGUAUAUAUAUGUAUAUAUAUAUAUAUAUACACACACACACACAGUCAUGAUUCAUUACUAUUCAUACAUACAUUGAAAAUAUACAAAUUGUGGACUAGAUGACAUCCAGAAAAAAAAUCAGCUUGUAACAAAAGGAAUAUGAGGAGAAAGGGCAAUCAAAUAUUAGUUGCCAUAUCAAAAAUACUGCCAAUGUCAUCUCCAUGAGAAGAAAAUUUUACAGCUCUCUCAUCAUUCAGGUCUGCGAAUAGAUCACAUUAACGCGUUCGGGAUUACGCUAUUGUCCCCUAGCCACCCAUCACAGAACCCCAAAAUGAAAUCCUAGUAUUGGAGGGAGCGUGGGAGGCUGCAGUGAGAGGCUAUUGUGCAUCGAGUGCAGGCACCGAAUCAUGAAGAAGCGCGCAUAGUUCCGUCCGUCGCUUCAAUGAAGAGAAAGGUGAAGAAGAUGCUGCUGCUGCUACCACCACUAACUUAACUCUCCAGAUCUGGACGACACACAAGUAGAACUCCUCUCCAGCAGAACCAAGAGAGAUCCCAGCCAGAGAGAGACCAAUCCCAGUGAAUUGAGACCAGAACCAGGACCGGGAUCCCCUCCUUCCUUGUUUCCGCCCCCAGAAAUAUGGGGCAGGACUGACUGACUAACUGACUGACUGACUGACAUUCACUCACCCACUUACUCUCUCUCUCUCUCUCUCUCACUCACUCACGCAGGUCGCCCACUCCCUCCCUCCCUGCCCCCCAAUAAUGCACCACCGCGCCAACGGAGGAGCUAGAGGCCGAGCGAGGUUGGAGGGGGGAGCAAGCAACCCACCCCACCCCCCC